RNAcentral lists this ribosomal RNA (305 nucleotides) under uncultured bacterium. Its description in RNAcentral is "bacterial SSU rRNA". It matches the Rfam family "Bacterial small subunit ribosomal RNA", at positions 337 to 635 of the family's 1533-position model. The record is from RNAcentral.
GCCUACGGGGGGCAGCAGUAGGGAAUUUUCGUCAAUGGGCGCAAGCCUGAACGAGCAAUGCCGCGUGAACGAGGAAGGUCUUCGGAUCGUAAAGUUCUGUUGAAAGGGAAAAAGAGCGGAGAGAGGAAAUGGUCUCCGAUUGAUAUUACCCUUCGAGGAAGUCACGGCUAACUACGUGCCAGCAGCCGCGGUAAUACGUAGGUGGCGAGCGUUAUCCGGAAUGAUUGGGCGUAAAGGGUGCGUAGGCGGCCUGCUAAGUCUGGAGUGAAAGGUACCGGCUCAACCGGUACAGGCUCUGGAAACUG